Long non-coding RNA from Bubalus bubalis (water buffalo), 395 nucleotides. RefSeq lists it as uncharacterized. The record is from RefSeq and is a predicted model, not a curated record. The transcript has 3 exons. NCBI's taxonomy places the organism in Eukaryota, Metazoa, Chordata, Mammalia, Artiodactyla, Bovidae.
AUCUCUAGAGUGCUCUCAGCCUCACUGUCUGAGGGACUCCCACUGAGGUCUCCAAGGCAGCUGGAGCCCCGCCGUGAUGGAAGGGGACCGGCAUUGGGCCCGAGAAGACUGCAGGAUGCCCGGUCAGAGCCUCAGGCGCCUGGAACUGGAGGGCAGAGACUGGACGGGCAGGACUGGAGCUAACCCUGUCGCGCACCUUCCCCAAGCCUGACUCUGUGUUAAUAAGCACAUCAAUGGAUAACACAUUUAAUUCUCACAACCAUCCUGCAAGCUGACUAGGGCCUCCAGUACAUCGAGGAACAGAAGCACGGACACUGGGCACUGUCGUCCAGGUCCCAGACAUUCCUUACUCCUGUCUCCUACUCCUUCCUAGUCCCUGGACCCUUCAUCAGUGA